UUUGGAGAAAGGUUAGAGCUAAGAGAGAAAGGAUACACUGAUGGUAGAAUGCCUACAUCAGUAUGUAUUCUUGAGUUUUGUUAAAUCGGUAUAUUGGAAGGCUUCCAAGCAAUUGAUCAAUGAAAGUUGAAUAUGCUAUAGAUGUGUAGGAUGAAUUCUGAUUCUUGUAAUAGUUGUGGAACUUGAUGUCAUGAUAUCAGAUGCUAUGACACUGUACUGCAAAGAUAAUGGUCUGUAACUCUUGUUAAAGAGCCAACGUCUCAUCAGAAGUUCAAACACAUAGAACAGAGAUAUACGCGAUUAUCUCAAGUAAAAAUAUAUAGAGGUACAGAGAAUAGAUUUCACAUGAAUUGUAGUAGGCCCAAGUCAUUUAGCCAGUUAAAGACCGAAGUCUAUCUUCAUAAGAUGGGGCUUAGGUAUAUAGCAGAUUAGUUUUAGUACAAGUAGGAGUUUGUUAGAUGUGUGUCCUAGAAGUCAAUUUUGGCUAAUGCAUACUUUUUUCUACGACAUAUUUUUGUACUUGUCGGAUAACUUUUAAUU
This 540-nucleotide long non-coding RNA is filed under the name Elaeis guineensis (African oil palm). Its description in RNAcentral is "long non-coding RNA (EGUI_LNC021433)". Lineage: Eukaryota; Viridiplantae; Streptophyta; Magnoliopsida; Arecales; Arecaceae. The record is from RNAcentral.